UAGGGAAUCUUCCGCAAUGGACGCAAGUCUGACGGAGCAACGCCGCGUGAGUGAAGAAGGAUUUCGGUUCGUAAAACUCUGUUGUUAGAGAAGAACAGCGCAUAGAGUAACUGUUAUGCGUGUGACGGUAUCUAACCAGAAAGCCACGGCUAACUACGUGCCAGCAGCCGCGGUAAUACGUAGGUGGCAAGCGUUGUCCGGAUUUAUUGGGCGUAAAGCGAGCGCAGGCGGUCAAUUAAGUCUGAUGUGAAAGCCCCCGGCUCAACCGGGGGGGGUCAUUGGAAACUGGUUGACUUGAGUGCAGAAGAGGAGAGUGGAAUUCCAUGUGUAGCGGUGAAAUGCGUAGAUAUAUGGAGAAACACCAGUGGCGAAGGCGACUCUCUGGUCUGUAACUGACGCUGAGGCUCGAAAGCGUGGGUAGCAAACAGG
RNAcentral lists this ribosomal RNA (429 nucleotides) under Bacteroidota bacterium. Its description in RNAcentral is "Bacteroidetes bacterium partial 16S ribosomal RNA". It matches the Rfam family "Bacterial small subunit ribosomal RNA", at positions 355 to 776 of the family's 1533-position model. Lineage: Bacteria; Pseudomonadati; Bacteroidota. The record is from RNAcentral.